UCCCUGGUAGUCCAGUGGUUAGGACUUGGAACUUUCACUACCAUGGGCCUAGGUUCAAUCCCUGGUCAGGGAA
This is a non-coding RNA of Bos taurus (domestic cattle), 73 nucleotides long. The record is from Rfam. NCBI's taxonomy places the organism in Eukaryota, Metazoa, Chordata, Mammalia, Artiodactyla, Bovidae.